Molecule: long non-coding RNA, 561 nt
Organism: Hibiscus syriacus
Lineage: Eukaryota; Viridiplantae; Streptophyta; Magnoliopsida; Malvales; Malvaceae
Exons: 4
Source: RefSeq, a predicted model, not a curated record
ACAAUAAAGGUUAUAUACCUCUGAUUUUUGUAUAUUUAUUUAUGAAAUGCUUCGAAAAGGUGACCCGUGGUUGUGCAGCUGGAGUUGCUGCUGCUUUUAGAGCUCCAGUUGGAGGUGUAUUAUUUGCAUUGGAGGAGGUUACAUCUUGGUGGAGGAGUCAACUAAUGUGGCGUGUCUUUUUCACUUCUGCGAUUGUGGCUGUUGUGGUGCGUGGUACUAUGGGAUGGUGCAAAAGUGGAAACUGUGGUCAUUUUGGUUCUGGUGGCUUCAUCAUAUGGGAUAUAUCUGAGUUAGUAUCUUCCUCAAGCUCUUGUACAUUAACUCCACAGACAUUUUGCUUAGCUUUAAGCUUACCACUUCAAAACAUUUUAUUCUCUUUCUUUCAUCCUGUAUAGUGCUCAAGAGGACUAUUCUUUCGAGGAAUUAUUGCCAAUGGCACUUAUUGGGGACAUUGGAGGUCUUCUAGGAGCUUUGUUUAACCAACUUACUAUAUAUGUAACUUUCUGGAGACGUAAUUAUUUGCACGAGAAAGGGAAUCGAGUUAAGAUAUAUGAAGCAUAC